GGCACGCCCGAAGUCGUUACUCCAACCCUUGUGGAGGAGGACGUCGAAGGUGGGGCUGAUGACUGGGGUGAAGUCGUAACAAGGUAGCCGUACCGGAAGGUGCGGCUGGAUCACCUCCUAACAGGGAGACAACUCAGAUUUUGAUGCUUGAUUCAAUUUGAUGUUAAGCCAGAGUCCUGUCACUCUAGGUCGAUCGGUACCUCAGCUUUUAAAUUGAGAACUGUAUGAUAGCGAAGGCGACUGGUUUGGAAAGUCCGUUUGAUGAAUAAUGAGUGAAUCCAUUGUUUUGCCUAAGUCACCUUUCAGGUAUAACACCUUGUCAAAGUCAUGAUUGAACGAGUUUCAACUCUGGUGUGAAUGGCACGGGUGAUUAAAAGAACCUGCUGUUACUGACAGGUAACACUCCUGGGCCAUUAGCUCAGGUGGUUAGAAGGGGAAUUCCAUGGACUGGCUGCCGUCCUG
This 462-nucleotide unclassified non-coding RNA is filed under the name uncultured cyanobacterium. RNAcentral's name for it is "partial contains 16S ribosomal RNA and 16S-23S ribosomal RNA intergenic spacer". The stretch from base 1 to 121 matches the Rfam family "Bacterial small subunit ribosomal RNA", at positions 1414 to 1533 of the family's 1533-position model. Lineage: Bacteria; Bacillati; Cyanobacteriota. The record is from RNAcentral.